This 426-nucleotide ribosomal RNA is filed under the name uncultured bacterium. Its description in RNAcentral is "partial 16S ribosomal RNA". It matches the Rfam family "Bacterial small subunit ribosomal RNA", at positions 354 to 796 of the family's 1533-position model. The record is from RNAcentral.
GUGAGGAAUUUUCCGCAAUGGGCGAAAGCCUGACGGAGCAAUGCCGCGUGAAGGAUGAAGGCCUAUGGGUUGUAAACUUCUUUUCUCAGAAAAGAAUUAUGACGGUAUCUGAGGAAUAAGCAUCGGCUAACUCUGUGCCAGCAGCCGCGGUAAGACAGAGGAUGCAAGCGUUAUCCGGAAUGAUUGGGCGCAAAGCGUCUGUAGGUUGUUUAAAAAGUAUUCUGUCAAAGAUUAGGGCUUAACCCUAGAUAGGCAGAAUAAACUUUUAAGCUAGAGUUUGGUAGAGGCAGAGGGAAUUCCCGGUGGAGCGGUGAAAUGCGUAGAUAUCGGGAGGAACACCAAAGGCGAAGGCACUCUGCUGGGCCAAUACUAACACUGAGAGACGAAAGCGAGGGGAGCAAAUGGGAUUAGAUACCCCAGUAGUCC